UACAGAGGGGGCAAGCGUUGUUCGGAAUUACUGGGCGUAAAGGGCGCGUAGGCGGCCGCCUAAGUCAGACGUGAAAUCCCUCGGCUCAACCGGGGAACUGCGUCUGAUACUGGGUGGCUUGAAUUCGGGAGAGGGAUGCGGAAUUCCUGGUGUAGCGGUGAAAUGCGCAGAUAUCAGGAAGAACACCCGUGGCGAAGGCGGCUCUCUGGGACGGUACUGACGCUGAGACGCGAAAGCGUGGGGAGCGAACAGG
RNAcentral lists this ribosomal RNA (253 nucleotides) under uncultured bacterium. RNAcentral describes it as "partial 16S ribosomal RNA". It matches the Rfam family "Bacterial small subunit ribosomal RNA", at positions 524 to 776 of the family's 1533-position model. The record is from RNAcentral.